RNAcentral lists this transfer RNA (72 nucleotides) under Hyphessobrycon roseus. RNAcentral describes it as "tRNA-Ile". It matches the Rfam family "tRNA". From Rfam's summary of the family: Transfer RNA (tRNA) molecules are approximately 80 nucleotides in length. Lineage: Eukaryota; Metazoa; Chordata; Actinopteri; Characiformes; Acestrorhamphidae. The record is from RNAcentral.
GGAGCCGUGCCCGAAUACCUAAGGACCACUUUGAUAGAGUGAUUUAUGAGGGUUAAAAUCCCUCCAGCUCCU